AUGAAGGGCCUCAUAGCUCGGCUAUGGCCUGGAGAAGUCAUGCCUGGGAGCUACUUCGGUCUGGUGCGGCGGCUGGUGGACGCGUGUCCAUGGAUUGAGGUCGUCAAGCGCUCCGUUUGUAUUGAAGGUGCCCGUCGGGCCCUUGCCCGUGCUAAGGUGCACUGGGGCAAGCUAGAUGCCGAGAAGCUGUUGACGGACGCGCCACCACCGGGCAAGGAGUAUCGUACGCCCGAGAUGUAUUAUAAUGGCGUUCUGAAGGGUGCCCGCCUUAUAAGGGAUGAGUGCUCCAAAGAUGUAAUUUUUGAGUAG
This 309-nucleotide ribosomal RNA is filed under the name Triticum aestivum (bread wheat). RNAcentral describes it as "partial small subunit ribosomal RNA". The record is from RNAcentral. Lineage: Eukaryota; Viridiplantae; Streptophyta; Magnoliopsida; Poales; Poaceae.